CUGGCGGCGUGCUUAACACAUGCAAGUCGAACGAGACGAUUUAGAAGCUUGCUUUUAUUGAGUCGAGUGGCAAACGGGUGAGUAACGCGUAGACAACCUGCCGCAAAGAUGGGGACAACAGUCCGAAAGGACUGCUAAUACCGAAUGUUGUAUCUCCUCCGCGUGGAAGAGAUAUUAAAGAUGGCCUCUCUACUUGUAAGCUAUCGCUUUGCGAUGGGUCUGCGUCUGAUUAGCUAGUUGGUGGGGCAACGGCCUACCAAGGCGACGAUCAGUAGCCGGUCUGAGAGGAUGAACGGCCACAUUGGAACUGAGACACGGUCCAGACUCCUACGGGAGGCAGCAGUGGGGAAUCUUCCGCAAUGGGCGAAAGCCUGACGGAGCAACGCCGCGUGAGUGAAGAAGGUCUUCGGAUCGUAAAGCUCUGUUGUCGGGGACGAUAAUGACGGUACCUGAGGAGGAAGCCACGGCUAACUACGUG
Molecule: ribosomal RNA, 478 nt
Filed under: uncultured bacterium
Lineage: Bacteria
Description: bacterial SSU rRNA
Rfam family: Bacterial small subunit ribosomal RNA
Source: RNAcentral